This 617-nucleotide long non-coding RNA is filed under the name Vigna radiata. RNAcentral's name for it is "long non-coding RNA (VRAD_LNC011809)". Lineage: Eukaryota; Viridiplantae; Streptophyta; Magnoliopsida; Fabales; Fabaceae. The record is from RNAcentral.
UAAGCUACAUAUAAAUCAAAGAUCAUAAGUGAGAUACAACUUUUUUAAAAGACAUUCAACAUUAUUACUAUAAAAACGUAUAUUACUGAUGGGUUUUUACCGAUGGUUUGGAAUUCAUUGAUAAUGGUGGAUUAUCGAUGAAUUUAUUGGCGAAAGAUUGUUUUUUAUUGAUGGUGACAUAAAUUAUCGAUGGGUCUUGGCCGACGGUAAUGUCCGCGAUGCUUUAUGUUUGAAAUUUGGGUAUUGUUUUACCAAAUUCAAUUUUAGAAAUUCCUCUCCUCCCUUCCCUGUUCUUUCUUCAUCCCCCUUCUCUUUUGUGAGUGCGAGUUCGGUGGCCAAGCCAGUUUGAAGAGCGUGCUGUUGCGGACGCUGACGGCGGUUCAUUGGUGGCUGGCUCACUUCCCUUCCAUGUUCUCUCUUCGUUCCCUAAUUAAGGUUCUCUUGGAUAAAGAAUGCCUGUUGAAGAUAGUUGGAGUAAGUUGCAUGAGAUAUAGGUAAAAGGGUAAAUAUUGGUAUAUUAUAUUCUGUCCAGAUUUAAGAAAACAUAUUGCUACAAUGUAAAUUUCUAAAAUUUUGUAGUUUUAAUAUGAAAACUAGAUGUUUAAUAAACUUCUGUG